This 226-nucleotide long non-coding RNA is filed under the name Ananas comosus (pineapple). Its description in RNAcentral is "long non-coding RNA (ACOM_LNC012707)". Lineage: Eukaryota; Viridiplantae; Streptophyta; Magnoliopsida; Poales; Bromeliaceae. The record is from RNAcentral.
UCUACUUUUGUUUCUUGAAAACAAACUACGGGACAAAAGUGCUUAGACACGACAGUCUUUACCGCACGACGCUUGACCGGGUCGUUCAGACCCCGAACAUUCCAAGAGAUAAUAUUAAACAUCAGAAACUGCUACCCCCCAAAAUAUAAAACCACACCGAAACCCGCCCCUCAGCAAAUUAUCCGCUCAACAUAAACUUGUGGAGCUCCUCCGCGUCAACCUCCGA